GAAAAUGUUAUUGCUGAUGCAUUGUCUCGUCGCUAUACUAUGCUUUCACAACUUGACUUCAAAAUAUUUGGUUUGGAGACCAUCAAAGAUCAAUAUGUGCAUGAUGCUGAUUUUAAAGAUGUAAUGCAGAAUAGUAAAGAAGGAAGAAUGUGGAACAAGUUUGUUGUUAACGAUGGAUUUGUGUUUCGUGCUAACAAGCUAUGCAUUCCAGCUAGCUCCGUUCAUCUUUUGUUGUUGCAGGAGGCGCAUGGAGGAGGAUUAAUGGGACACUUUGGCGUGAAGAAGACGGAGGACGUACUUGCUACACAUUUCUUUUGGCCAAAGAUGAGACGGGAUGUUGAGCGUUUUAUUGCUCGCUGCACUACAUGUCAAAAAGCUAAGUCACGA
Molecule: ribosomal RNA, 387 nt
Filed under: Triticum aestivum (bread wheat)
Lineage: Eukaryota; Viridiplantae; Streptophyta; Magnoliopsida; Poales; Poaceae
Description: partial small subunit ribosomal RNA
Source: RNAcentral